Long non-coding RNA from Gopherus evgoodei (Goodes thornscrub tortoise), 1076 nucleotides. RefSeq lists it as uncharacterized. NCBI's taxonomy places the organism in Eukaryota, Metazoa, Chordata, Testudines, Testudinidae. The record is from RefSeq and is a predicted model, not a curated record. The transcript has 2 exons.
CCGCCCUCCGCGGGGUACCAUGGGACGGCAGCCACCGACGGGGGCCACCUCCUCGGGGUCACGCGAAACCCCCCCUCUAGUGGGCCGGCCCCCCGCAUAACCGGCUUCCCUAACCCUCCCCCACGCCGAGAGGGCACACGCACCUGGGGGAGACUCAGCCUUCCGGCCCCCUCAGGACGGGUGUCCCCCUGGUGUAACUCUCAGGAGGAGUCUCCCUGUCUCCCAAUCUUUGGGAAACAACUGCUGUAGUUGCCACAAGGAUGUGACUGAAAAUGGAAGGGGAGACAAAUCUACAAGAAAAUACCUGCCUAUUACAAUGUGGUCCACACUUGAAAGAAUGUGAGAACCAGUGCAGUUGGAUACAUUUUUAAGGAAGAUACUAGGGCUGGGUCUACACUAAAAAGUUAAGUCAACCCAGCUAGGUCACUCUGGUGUGAAAAAUUGACACCACAUCCUACAGAGGCUAUGUCUGUACACUUACCAUUUAGAGUGCAAAAAGUCCUUUUUUGUGCUAAAACCGAGGAAGCAUCUACAAGAAAACCACCCUCACGAGGCAUAUAGCUCUUACCGCUGUUCUUUUUGUGCUGUUGUGAAAGUGAAAAACCGUUCUACCAUCGUAAACACCUUUUGGCCUCCGAAGGAUAUUGCACAGUUCCAAAAGUGACCACUCUGGCCAGCAUCUUUACUGGUCUGACACCAGGUAAACGGACAUCCAUCCCUCCCCUUGUAAACCCUGGGAAGUUUGAAACUUCCUUUCCCUUUGCUUGUAGAUAUGGCAGGGAAAGCAGCCAGACAGCAGGGUCGGGUAAAAAAAAAAUGCCACAAAAGAAACAAGGAAGUAUUGGGGCUGCUGGAACAUGAAGCAGGGCAGCAUGGAGCACUGAGCAGGGACCCGGAAUGCCUUCUGCUCACCCUUCCCACAAGACCUAUCGAGAGAGCUGCACUGUAGGAUAGCUGCCCUACAGCGCUGCUCUCAUCUGCGAUGGAAGUGCUGCUAGUGUAAACACUCUCUGAUGCCUGAGGAAUUAAGUGAGUACACAAACCAGCACUUUUCUUUCACCAGUUCCCUAUCACCG